RNAcentral lists this long non-coding RNA (212 nucleotides) under Lupinus angustifolius (narrow-leaved blue lupine). Its description in RNAcentral is "long non-coding RNA (LANG_LNC001974)". The record is from RNAcentral. Lineage: Eukaryota; Viridiplantae; Streptophyta; Magnoliopsida; Fabales; Fabaceae.
CGUCGUCGUCGUCAUCAUCAGCAUCUCUAGCCCUGAUAGGUGCAACGGAUGAUUCUGCUUCAUCAUCAGCUUUGUUGUUGCUACAAGUAAUGUUGUUGCUGAUGCUAAGUUGAAUGAGAAGCUUUGCUACUUCAACCUCUGAUUCAGAGAACACAACAUGCUUCUUAGUGCUCGUGUUUUCACAUGAUUUAGCCAUGAUCUCUUGAGAGAAA